RNAcentral lists this long non-coding RNA (2074 nucleotides) under Macaca mulatta (Rhesus monkey). RNAcentral describes it as "lncRNA (ENSMMUG00000051760.1)". Lineage: Eukaryota; Metazoa; Chordata; Mammalia; Primates; Cercopithecidae. The record is from RNAcentral.
AGAGGACACACUCAGCCAGAGGCAGGCCCUCAUUCCAAUUAAUGGACUUCUUGGAGGAGAGCAUAAGUAAUUGGUUUUGAGGUUGUUUCCACUGCCUUUGAAGGACAAUUGAAGUGCUCAUCAAGAUGUGCCAAAUGUUUAUAGAGUGCCUCUUUGGAUGAGUAUCUGUUUUAAAUAAGUGAAUUUAAAGGGGCCUGUAACUCACUUAAAUUACACCAAGAUGGGAGACUGGAGACAGGAUAUAGCUUCCAGUUGAAAUUCCUUGAUCUCUGGUUUAGUCUUAAUUUUAUAGAUAACAAGAGCCAUCAUUUGAAGAACUUUAACCAGUUGUGCUCAAAUGGUAUUCAGAUGGGACACAAGCUGCAGGCUGUACCCAAGCUUGUUGGUUCAGAUUUAUUUUCUUCUUAAUGCAAAGGCUUGAUGUUUGUUGGUCCAAAGAGCACAUAUGGCUUAUGGCUUGAAAAAUGUCUUGUGCUUCUCUCUGACCAGAACAAAAGUAGGGCUAAGAGAAUGCAGUGCCCUUAUCACUGGCACCUGGGCACCACGGUGCUGUCUGUUAAGUCUAGAGAAAUCAGCUGUUGAAUUUUGGUGAGACAACCCCCCUUUCUUCCUUCUAGGGGAAGCCCAACUCAUACUUUCCUGAGACUGGGCUCUCAAUCCAGGUUAAGGCACUAGAUUUAAAGCUCCAAUGAAGUACCCACUUGGCUGAGGUGCUGAGAGGAGGCUGGGUGACUGUGAGAGAUACCAAGAGGACUUCAUUAUGGAAGGUCCCUGCUGGAAGGCCAGGUGUUAUAUAUAUUUCCAUGGUAUAUACAUGAGAAUGUUACCAUUUGUGAGACAUCUCUGCAAAAAUCAAGAGGUUCGUUCGUUUUUGGUAAUUAACAGAGGAGUUAAUGUGGCUGAGACAAGAUUUUUUAAAAAAGGAAAUCUGCUUUACAUCUCAUGGGUAAGCCUUAAAACAAAUCAAUCAUUUCUGAAUUGACUACUUAUGCUUUAUUCUGCAAGUACUGAUGAACAGGAAGUUAGACAUUGUCAUUUUCUUUCAUAGCAUUUUGGGACAUUUAUGAUCAACCUGUGAGAUCUUUCAGAGAACACUCUAAAUCAAUUGCCAUGUAGUCAUUGUCUGACUUUGGAUCGAUUAUUUAAUAUGUUGACUUUUAAUAUUCUUUUCCUUUUGGAAGAAUGAAUGGUAAUGCCUACUGAAGAAGAUUGUGAAUAAAAUUCAAGGUAGAUAGCAUCUACAUAGAAGGCCCUAAAUAUAGUUGUCAUUGUCUGUGUUGAUUGUGUACAAUGAUGGUAUAUCCUUUGCAGUUAUCAACAUCUUUGGCAAAAUUUUAAAUUCAAAGGCAACAAAGUUCACAGGUAUUGUUAUAUAAGAUUUCUAUUCAGAUUAGUAGCACAUUAGUGUCUUAGGUUGGGUUCACUAGACACAGAGCCUGAGAUAGGGACUUGGCUGCUCUUCAAGAAAAACCUAUAAGGUAAUAAGAGAAAUAGGAUCAGGAAGAGGAAGGAGCCAAGAAAGAGUGUUGUUUCAGAUAAAGUCUAGACUUCUAGCUUGAUGCUGAGGGCAAGGGUGAGGUCCCUAAGCAGGGGGAGUUGUGGAAUAUAAAUCCUACCACGGGGUGAUCUGAGGCAGCAGUUCAGGCUUUCCUUCUAUAUGGAACCAUUUUAGGACACUAAAAAUUUUGUGGGAAGUUUGUGGAAGCAUCAAAAAUAGCAAUUUGCUGUGAUAAGUGUGCCCUAUAACUUUCAAAUGGCUAUGUGAUAGAUUCCCUUUAGCCACCUCUUAGUGAUGAUUCAACCAAAAAAGCCCCACAAUAAAUAACAAAACAUUUCUCUGUUCAUUAAUUUAAUUACUGUUUCUUAAACAUCUGUUAGGUGCUCAGAACUAUCCUAGGCACUAAAAUCAUGGCAAAACAAUAAGAAGUACCAGUGGAUAUUUUUUAACUACUUAAAAAAUAACCACUUGAAAACAAAAUAGAAACUAUCAUUUUCUACAGGCUUUUCUAUCAAAAUAAACUAAGCUGCUAAAUAAAAUCCGGUGUUUAAACUAUAUUUUUAAAAAGGGAUGGCA